GACACGUGUCACCCCUCCUCCCUUUCACUGCCACAUCCAGCUGGGCACCAGAGACUUGGGGUCACGUGAGAUCCAAGUCCUCACCAGGAAGCUGACCUAAACCAGGCUCCUGCUGUCCUUGGCAACUUCCUGUCCACCAUUCUGCCUCCUUCCUCAUCUCCAGUCAGGCUGUGGUGCUCCAUUUUGUCUCUGCUGUGCUCCCACUUCAUCUGUUCCGUGAGAUCCCUCCCCUUGUCACUGUGUUAACGUGCACCCCGUGUACUUACCCCCUUCAGUCUUCGCCCCUGAAGCUGAAAUCUGGGUCACCACCUGUUCUGACUUUGAAGCUGAGAAUGACUUUUCUGUUUCUAAAUCAUGGGAAAAUAGCAGGAGAAAACCGUUUUGUACCAGGAGAAAUACACAUGGAACCCUAAGUUCUGUGUCUGAAUGAAGCUUCCUGGGAGCAGAGCCGACCUGUUUCCUUGCAUUUUCAUUCACUGUCGCUUUUGCAGAAUGGAGGGGUUUGUAGCACAGACCACGCUGCAGAGCUGCUGGCACAGUGGAAAAUGCUCGCUGUCCGGAACUUUGACACUAGGACCCCGGCUCCAUCUCCUUACCCUAACUUAUAACCCUUCUCUCAUCCUGGCUCUGUUUGCUUGUGUGCUGCUUUGUCUGUCCAUUUCACUGGCACAAAAGCUUGGAGGUGGCUGGGGCAGAGUGAGCUCAAAACUGUGCCCCCAACUCAUAAACCAUGCCUGGCACAUACUUGGUGCUCACUGGUAUUUGCUGAAUGAAUAAAUGCAUGAAUGAAUGUGUGUCCACGUACAGUGUUAGGAGUAAGGGAUACAGCGCUUCUGUUUGAAUUUCCAGCUGUGUCUCCUGCUAGUAGCAUGCCCUAAGGCCACUUUUAAAGUUUGUCCUAAGCUUUAGGGCAGUGACAAUAGCUCCCCUUAGAGUUGUCCCCUGCCCCCAAGGAAAUGAUGGAUGCACCCCACCUGCUGUGGCAGGUGCUCAUCAGGGGAGAAGCUCAGCAGAGCUUCGGGCUGCUCCUGAGCCCCUAGGACUGACAGACAGGUCAGAAUCAGCACAGCCAGGCUCCAUGUUCCUGAUGGCUGCCCCCUCCAAGCUGCGCCAGAUAGGAUCUCCAGCCUUCAGCUCCUUGUCUCGUUUUCUGUGUCUGUCACUUUCUCUGCAAGGUAGCAGAGGUUUACUGAGGCUUAUUGGUAAUCCACGGUCAGCUGACUCCAAGGCAGAAGCAGCCUGGUGGAGAGAAGCUGCUCACCUCAUGGCGGCCAGGAAACCGAAAGGGGAAGAGGUUUCUCGUCCGGACUGGCCUCUGUAAGGACCAUUCCUGCUGCAUUGUGACGUGGUCAUUGCUUCUGGCUAGCAACUUGGGAUGGGCAGGGUGGUCACCACGCAGAUGCUGGUUAGGAUGAGGACCUGCCCAGUGACCUGCUCUUGAACUGCCUCGGAACCCAGCCACCUUCCCCUGGAGCUUCUGAAGAAUGGCAGCUCCAGUGCCUUCAACUUCUGCAGAACCCUUGGCCAUUUCUCAGGCAGCCCCUGGGGUCCUUUCAGAGAGGCCAACUCAUAGCAGAAGUGUCCCGAGGACAGGUGGGUACUAGCUGGGGAAGGAAGAGAGCAAGUCAUAAUGGGGAUGGGCUCACACCUGUCCCCACUGUCCCAGGUGAGGUUUGAGGGCUCUCACUUGAAGACAGGGGGAAAAGGUCACAGUUUGCUGGUGGUCUGGAGCCUGCAGUCCUGUGCCCUUUGGUCCCUUCCAUCCCUGUCUGAAGCUGCAGCAGCCUCAGGUAUGCAGUCCCCAGGGGGCUUGCAUCUCUGGCUCCCCAGUGUACAGUCACCGGAUGUGGGGGACACAGGGUUAAGAUAGUGCUGCCCACAAGGACUUUGUGUGUCUGUGGUCACUUUCAGCAGCCUCUACCACACAUGGCUGUCACCUACCCCAGGACUAAUGUGACCAAGGAGCACUUUAGUACUUUUCAAAUUCCAAGAGCCUCAGAGGCUGACAGCUGCCACACCGGACAGGUGAGGGAGAUUUUCAGAAGAACAAAGGGAGAGGGAACUGAAUACACACACAGGUGCUGUGUUGGUGUCCGAUGACUUUGCAGAGCCUUGCUGGGAUCUAAUUCCAGAUUAACUGGUUCCUGUAGAGAGGGCUGACCCGAGUCUCAGGGCUGCAGCCGGUUCCUUCUUUCCUUGUAGGGAGUGGCCAGGUCCCACCAUUUAGAUCUCCUGAGCAAUUUGAUGCCAGGGAGAGCUGUUGACAGAUUUUGGAAGGCAUGAAGUGUUUUGGGUUGGUUGGUUUGGUGUGGGUUUUUUUGUUUUGUUUUGCGUUUGUUUUGGGGUUUUGUUUUUGUUCUGUGUUUUGUUUUUGUAUGGGCCCCAUUUGCAUAGGAUCAUAUUAAAUCAUCCUUGGUACACGA
Molecule: long non-coding RNA, 2423 nt
Organism: Cavia porcellus (domestic guinea pig)
Lineage: Eukaryota; Metazoa; Chordata; Mammalia; Rodentia; Caviidae
Exons: 2
Source: RefSeq, a predicted model, not a curated record